RNAcentral lists this ribosomal RNA (425 nucleotides) under uncultured bacterium. RNAcentral's name for it is "partial 16S ribosomal RNA". It matches the Rfam family "Bacterial small subunit ribosomal RNA", at positions 354 to 796 of the family's 1533-position model. The record is from RNAcentral.
GUGGGGAAUAUUGGACAAUGGGCGCAAGCCUGAUCCAGCCAUGCCGCGUGAGUGAUGAAGGCCUUAGGGUUGUAAAGCUCUUUCAGUGGGGACGAUAAUGACGGUACCCACAGAAGAAGCCCCGGCUAACUUCGUGCCAGCAGCCGCGGUAAUACGAAGGGGGCUAGCGUUGUUCGGAUUUACUGGGCGUAAAGCGCACGUAGGCGGAUCGUUAAGUCGGGGGUGAAAUCCUGGAGCUCAACUCCAGAACUGCCUUCGAUACUGGCGAUCUUGAGUCCGGAAGAGGUGAGUAGAACUCCUAGUGUAGAGGUGGAAUUCGUAGAUAUUAGGAAGAACACCAGUGGCGAAGGCGGCUCACUGGUCCGGUACUGACGCUGAGGUGCGAAAGCGUGGGGAGCAAACAGGAUUAGAAACCCGGGUAGUCC